This 468-nucleotide ribosomal RNA is filed under the name uncultured bacterium. RNAcentral describes it as "partial 16S ribosomal RNA". It matches the Rfam family "Bacterial small subunit ribosomal RNA", at positions 28 to 507 of the family's 1533-position model. The record is from RNAcentral.
GACGAACGCUGGCGGCGUGCUUAACACAUGCAAGUCGAACGGAAAGGCCCUGCUUUUGUGGGGUGCUCGAGUGGCGAACGGGUGAGUAACACGUGAGUAACCUGCCCUUGACUUUGGGAUAACUUCAGGAAACUGGGGCUAAUACCGGAUAGGAGCUCCUGCUGCAUGGUGGGGGUUGGAAAGUUUCGGCGGUUGGGGAUGGACUCGCGGCUUAUCAGCUUGUUGAUGGGGUAGUGGCUUACCACGGCUUUGACGGGUAGCCGGCCUGAGAGGGUGACCGGCCACAUUGGGCCUGAGAUACGGCCCAGUCUCCUACGGUAGGCAGUAGUGGGGAAUAUUGCACAAUGGGCGGACGCCUGAUGCAGCAACGCCGCGUGCGUGAUGACGGCCUUCUGGUUGUGAACCGCUUUCGCCUGUGACGAAGCGUGAGUGACGGUAAUGGGUAAAGAAGCACCGGCUAACUACGUG